UUUUCAACCUACUCUUGGUACACAUUCCCGA
Molecule: non-coding RNA, 31 nt
Filed under: Mus musculus (house mouse)
Lineage: Eukaryota; Metazoa; Chordata; Mammalia; Rodentia; Muridae
Source: RNAcentral